ACCUGUGUUUCUCUCUCUCCUUUAUCUCAGGAGGGCGGCACCCUGGCUGUGUGUGACUGUCAGAACACGCCUUGAUCUCCGUAGUGUUGUGAUGCGUCAUAUUCACAAAGCAGCAGUGAUGACAGAACGCACUUCAGAAACUAUUUUGAGAAAUCAACCUACAUGUAAAAUAAUACAAGAAGAGGUCGUCUGAAAGUCUCGGGCAGAAACAGUGUACUUACAGCUGACAGAACACACAAACUUCCCAGAAUCAUGUGAGGUUGGUCAAGUCAAUGUUUAUGUGAAGGCUUAGCACACAUGUGAUGAUGUUUAGCAGUGACGGUGUCGUGAAGUGAUUUCGGUCUGUGGUCACACUCACCACCAGAGAGGAAU
Molecule: long non-coding RNA, 372 nt
Organism: Triplophysa rosa
Lineage: Eukaryota; Metazoa; Chordata; Actinopteri; Cypriniformes; Nemacheilidae
Exons: 3
Source: RefSeq, a predicted model, not a curated record